AGUGAACGCUGGCGGUAGGCCUAACACAUGCCAGUCGAACGGCAGCACAGUAAGAGCUUGCUCUUACGGGUGGCGAGUGGCGGACGGGGGAGGAAUACAUCGGAAUCUACUUUUUCGUGGGUGAUAACGUAGGGAAACUUACGCCAAUACCGCAUACGACCUACGGGUGAAAGCAGGGGAUCUUCGGACCUUGCGCGAUUGAAUGAGCCGAUGUCGGAUUAGCUAGUUGGCGGGGUAAAGGCCCACCAAGGCGACGAUCCGUAGCUGGUCUGAGAGGAUGAUCAGCCACACUGGAACUGAGACACGGUCCAGACUCCUACGGGAGGCAGCAGUGGGGAAUAUUGGACAAUGGGCGCAAGCCUGAUCCAGCCAUACCGCGUGGGUGAAGAAGGCCUUCGGGUUGUAAAGCCCUUUUGUUGGGAAAGAAAAGCAGCAGGUUAAUACCCCGCUGUUCUGACGGUACCCAAAGAAUAAGCACCGGCUAACUUCGUG
This 492-nucleotide ribosomal RNA is filed under the name uncultured bacterium. RNAcentral's name for it is "partial 16S ribosomal RNA". It matches the Rfam family "Bacterial small subunit ribosomal RNA", at positions 29 to 507 of the family's 1533-position model. The record is from RNAcentral.